AAGAAGUGGGGGCGGGGGUGGGUGUGAAUGCGGAGGGGGGAGGCGUUGUUGGGGAUGGUUGGGCGGAAGGGGGGAGUGGGCGGUUUCUUAAGUCGGAGGUGCAAUCCCUGGUCUAAACCCAGGAACUGCAGCGGAGACUGGGAGGCUGGAGUACGGGAGAGGGUGGGGGAAUUCCUCGUGUAGCGGGGAAAUGCGUAGAGAUGAGGAGGAACACCAGUGGCGAAGGCGGCCAACUGGACAGUAACUGACGCUGAGGCGCGAAAGCGUGGGUAGCAAACAGGAUUAGAUACCCGUGUAGUC
RNAcentral lists this ribosomal RNA (300 nucleotides) under uncultured Archaeoglobus sp. Its description in RNAcentral is "partial 16S ribosomal RNA". The stretch from base 59 to 300 matches the Rfam family "Bacterial small subunit ribosomal RNA", at positions 554 to 795 of the family's 1533-position model. Lineage: Archaea; Methanobacteriati; Methanobacteriota; Archaeoglobi; Archaeoglobales; Archaeoglobaceae. The record is from RNAcentral.